UUUCCGUAGGUGAACCUGCGGAAGGAUCAUUCAUAAUAAGUGUUUUAUGGCACUUUUUAAAUCCAUAUCCACCUUGUGUGCAAUGUCAGGGUUGAUUUCUCUCGAGAGAUCAACCCCAAACAUCAACUAUAAUCUCAACUCUUUGUCUGAAAAAUAUUAUGAAUAAAACAAUUCAAAAUACAACUUUCAACAACGGAUCUCUUGGCUCUC
Molecule: unclassified non-coding RNA, 210 nt
Filed under: plant metagenome
Description: partial contains small subunit ribosomal RNA, internal transcribed spacer 1, and 5.8S ribosomal RNA
Source: RNAcentral